UACGUAGGCAGCGAGCGUUGUUCGGAGUUACUGGGCGUAAAGGGUGUGUAGGCGGUUCUUUAAGUUUGGUGUGAAAUCUCCCGGCUCAACCGGGAGGGUGCGCCGAAUACUGAGGGACUAGAGUAUGGGAUGGGAAAGUGGAAUUCCUGGUGUAGCGAUGAAAUGCGUAGAUAUCAGGAGGAACACCUGUGGUGUAGACGGCUUUCUGGACCAUAACUGACGCUGAGACACGAAAGCGUGGGUAGCAAACAGG
This 253-nucleotide ribosomal RNA is filed under the name uncultured bacterium. Its description in RNAcentral is "partial 16S ribosomal RNA". It matches the Rfam family "Bacterial small subunit ribosomal RNA", at positions 524 to 776 of the family's 1533-position model. The record is from RNAcentral.